This 471-nucleotide long non-coding RNA is filed under the name Sorghum bicolor (sorghum). RNAcentral describes it as "long non-coding RNA (SBIC_LNC009440)". Lineage: Eukaryota; Viridiplantae; Streptophyta; Magnoliopsida; Poales; Poaceae. The record is from RNAcentral.
UGACCAAACUGUGUCUUCGUCAUAAACAACGUCAUAGCAUCUAGCUGCAUGUGAUUUAUGACGAUAGAUUGUGACAAUAGUUAAUUGUCGUCAAAUAUAAAUCUAUUAUAAUUAUUAUUAAAAUAUCUUGUUAUCCCACAUGGCCAUUGGUGCACACUAUCAUAUGUCCUAGGUAAAUUAUUUCCGUCCUAGUUAACUCCUAGUCCCACGUAGGAUUGGAGGAAGAAAAUUUCAAAAGAACACACCAAAAUGUUGGUAUUUGUGAUGAUAGAUUGUAACAAUAAUUGAUCAUUAUAAAUAUAAAUCUAUUAUAAUUAUUUUAAAAAUAUUAUCUUAUCCUAUUUAGUCGUUGGUGCACACUACCAUAUGCCAUAGUUAUAGCCCCAUGUAUGAUUAGAUGAAAAAAUUCAAAAAAACACCCUAGCUAUAGCCUCAUGUAGGAUUGAAUAAAAAAAUUCAAAAAACACCAAA